RNAcentral lists this small nuclear RNA (327 nucleotides) under Ursus americanus (American black bear). RNAcentral describes it as "7SK RNA (ENSUAMG00000020765.1)". It matches the Rfam family "7SK RNA". From Rfam's summary of the family: 7SK was discovered as an abundant small nuclear RNA in the mid-70s but a possible function has only recently been suggested. Two independent studies have found that 7SK RNA binds the CDK9/cyclin T complex (known as elongation factor P-TEFb). Lineage: Eukaryota; Metazoa; Chordata; Mammalia; Carnivora; Ursidae. The record is from Rfam by way of RNAcentral.
GGAUGUGAGGGUGAUCUGGCUGCAACAUCUGUCACCCCAUUGAUCGCCAGGGUUGAGUCGGCUGAUCUGGAUGGGUAGGCGUGUGUCCCCUUCCUCCCUCACCGCUCCGUGUGUGUCCCUCCCAAAGCUGCGUGCUUGGUCGAAGAGGUUGACCUUCCCCCAUAGAGGACCGUUCUUUGGUCAAGGGUAUAUGAGUAGCUGUGCUUCCUUGCCAGAACCUCCAAACAAGCUCUCAAGGUCCCUUUGCAGGAGAAUACGGGGCGGUCAAGCUUCCAAGACUCCAGACCCAACCAAACACGGCGCUGCACGUGGCGUCUGCCUUGCUUU